RNAcentral lists this ribosomal RNA (674 nucleotides) under uncultured bacterium. Its description in RNAcentral is "bacterial SSU rRNA". It matches the Rfam family "Bacterial small subunit ribosomal RNA", at positions 24 to 687 of the family's 1533-position model. The record is from RNAcentral.
UCAGAUUGAACGCUGGCGGCAGGCCUAACACAUGCAAGUCGAGCGGUAACAUUUCUAAGCUUGCUUAGAAGAUGACGAGCGGCGGACGGGUGAGUAAUGCUUGGGGAUCUGCCUGAUGGCGGGGGACAACCACUGGAAACGGUGGCUAAUACCGCAUAAUACCUAUGGGUCAAAGUGUGGGACCUUCGGGCCACACGCCAUCAGAUGAACCCAAGUGAGAUUAGCUGGUUGGUAAGGUAACGGCUUACCAAGGCGACGAUCUCUAGCUGGUCUGAGAGGAUGAUCAGCCACACUGGGACUGAGACACGGCCCAGACUCCUACGGGAGGCAGCAGUGGGGAAUAUUGGACAAUGGGGGCAACCCUGAUCCAGCCAUGCCGCGUGUGUGAAGAAGGCCUUCGGGUUGUAAAGCACUUUCAGUGGUGAGGAAGGUGGUGUCGUUAAUAGCGGCAUCAAUUGACGUUAGCCACAGAAGAAGCACCGGCUAACUCCGUGCCAGCAGCCGCGGUAAUACGGAGGGUGCGAGCGUUAAUCGGAAUUACUGGGCGUAAAGCGCACGUAGGCGGUAUGUUAAGCAAGAUGUGAAAGCCCAGAGCUCAACUCUGGAAUAGCAUUUUGAACUGGCAUGCUAGAGUUUUGGAGAGGGUGGUAGAAUUUCCAGUGUAGCGGUGAAAU